This 157-nucleotide ribosomal RNA is filed under the name Umbilicaria spodochroa. Its description in RNAcentral is "5.8S ribosomal RNA". The record is from RNAcentral. Lineage: Eukaryota; Fungi; Ascomycota; Lecanoromycetes; Umbilicariales; Umbilicariaceae.
UCGAACAGGCAUGCCCCCCGGAAUGCCAGGGGGCGCAAUGUGCGUUCAAAGAUUCGAUGAUUCACUGAAUUCUGCAAUUCACAUUACUUAUCGCAUUUCGCUGCGUUCUUCAUCGAUGCCAGAACCAAGAGAUCCGUUGUUGAAAGUUUUGUCGCUG